This 460-nucleotide ribosomal RNA is filed under the name uncultured bacterium. Its description in RNAcentral is "partial 16S ribosomal RNA". It matches the Rfam family "Bacterial small subunit ribosomal RNA", at positions 338 to 795 of the family's 1533-position model. The record is from RNAcentral.
CCUACGGGGGACAGCAGUGAGGAAUAUUGGUCAAUGGGCGCGAGACUGAACCAGCCAAGUAGCGUGAAGGAGGACUGUCCUGAGGGUUGUAAACUUCUUUUAUAAAGGAAUAAAGAGAGGCACGUGUGCCUUUUUGUAUGUACUUGAUGAAUAAGGAUCGGCUAACUCCGUGCCAGCAGCCGCGGUAAUACGGAGGAUCCGAGCGUUAUCCGGAUUUAUUGGGUUUAAAGGGAGCGUAGAUGGGUUGUUAAGUCAGUUGUGAAAGUUUGCGGCUCAACCGUAAAAUUGCAAUUGAUACUGGCAGUCUUGAGUUCAGUUGAGGUAGGCGGAAUGCGUGGUGUAGCGGUGAAAUGCUUAGAUAUCACGAAGAACUCCGAUUGCGAAGGCAGCUUACUAAACUGCCACUGACAUUGAUGCUCGAAAGUGUGGGUAUCAAACAGGAUUAGAUACCCGAGUAGUC